RNAcentral lists this long non-coding RNA (558 nucleotides) under Manacus vitellinus (golden-collared manakin). Its description in RNAcentral is "lncRNA (ENSMVIG00005017011.1)". The record is from RNAcentral. Lineage: Eukaryota; Metazoa; Chordata; Aves; Passeriformes; Pipridae.
CAAAUUGCCUUGUAUACUAUCAAUAUUGGAUUUUGAAGCUUUGUUUAAUAAUCUAAGCACAAGGUUUACAUUCCCAUGUGUAGAUGAAGGGUAGCAGGAGGCCUGUCAGAACAAACAUACCUGUAUGUUUUCAGGGCCACUGGCUGAGACAGAGAAAGCCAAUAUUUCUUUGUCAAAUGAAAACCUGAAUUCCAGAGAACAGCAUCUGUUGCAUCAACAUGAGAAACAUUUGGAGGAAACAAACUGUGGUGCUGAGCAAAACACUCCUGAUUCUCCAGAAUGUAAAGACUUCAUUAUUAAGAUCGAGCUGGAAAAAGCAGAAAAUGGAAGCCUAGGAUUUGCACUGGUAGGUGGAAGAAAUGGCAGGGCCAUCCUAAUAAAAGCCAUCAGCCCAGACAGCAUUGCAGACCUAGAUGGGAGGCUUCAAGUUGGUGACAUUCUACUUAAGGUAAUGCUUGUUCUUCAUUGCUUUGGCCUCCAUUUUCUCUAUAUAGUCUAUAACGAGCCUCUGUUCAGUAUAAAGAUUGUGCAUAUUGGAAAUCUGGUGCUGCUUGGCAU